GGUUGUGGCUCAGUGGUAAAGCGCUUGCCUAGCACGUGUGAGGAACUGGGUUCGAUUCUCAGCACCA
Molecule: transfer RNA, 67 nt
Filed under: Marmota monax (woodchuck)
Lineage: Eukaryota; Metazoa; Chordata; Mammalia; Rodentia; Sciuridae
Description: tRNA.Ala
Source: RNAcentral